This 72-nucleotide transfer RNA is filed under the name Nocardioidaceae bacterium. RNAcentral's name for it is "tRNA-Glu". It matches the Rfam family "tRNA", at positions 10 to 71 of the family's 71-position model. From Rfam's summary of the family: Transfer RNA (tRNA) molecules are approximately 80 nucleotides in length. Their secondary structure includes four short double-helical elements and three loops (D, anti-codon, and T loops). Further hydrogen bonds mediate the characteristic L-shaped molecular structure. tRNAs have two regions of fundamental functional importance: the anti-codon, which is responsible for specific mRNA codon recognition, and the 3' end, to which the tRNAs corresponding amino acid is attached (by aminoacyl-tRNA synthetases). tRNAs cope with the degeneracy of the genetic code in two manners: having more than one tRNA (with a specific anti-codon) for a particular amino acid; and 'wobble' base-pairing, i.e. permitting non-standard base-pairing at the 3rd anti-codon position. The record is from RNAcentral. Lineage: Bacteria; Bacillati; Actinomycetota; Actinomycetes; Propionibacteriales; Nocardioidaceae.
GCCGACCGUCGUCGGAAAGGGUCGCCCCGCCCUUUCAAGGCGGCAGCACGGGUUCGAAUCCCGUUGGGGGCA